AGAUACACCAGAGCAAGGAUUAGAACAGAUCCAAGUCUCAUUGUCAAAAUCUCUUGAUUCUUGUCUUCUGAAAAUUCUUCACGGCUUUGUUUUCAAUCUUCACUCUUCUUGACUCCAAACUGAAAUUGCUGUGUUUGGAGUGCGACCCUUUUUAUAUAUACUCUCGUAUCUUGGGGGUGGUUUGACUUCAUCCUUGGUCUCGACUCACAAACAAGAAUAAAAAUAGCAUUAGUGUCAGCAUUGUAAUCAUUAAUGUAAUCCUCAUGUUUUCGAGCAUUGAUCAAGUCUUUGUAGUUGCUUCAGCUC
Paramuricea clavata is the source of this 306-nucleotide non-coding RNA. Lineage: Eukaryota; Metazoa; Cnidaria; Anthozoa; Malacalcyonacea; Plexauridae. The record is from the annotation of a GenBank genome assembly.